AACGAACGCUGGCGGCAUGCCUAACACAUGCAAGUCGAACGAGACCUUCGGGUCUAGUGGCGCACGGGUGCGUAACGCGUGGGAACCUGCCUUUAGGUUCGGAAUAACUCAGAGAAAUUUGAGCUAAUACCGGAUGAUGUCUUCGGACCAAAGAUUUAUCGCCUUUGGAUGGGCCCGCGUUGGAUUAGCUAGUUGGUGGGGUAAAGGCCUACCAAGGCGACGAUCCAUAGCUGGUCUGGGAGGAUGAUCAGCCACACUGGGACUGAGACACGGCCCAGACUGCGAGGGGAGGCAGGAGGGGGGAAUAUGGGAAAAGGGGGGAAAGCAUAAACAAGCAAUGCGGGGGAAGUGAGGAAGGCGUGGGGGUAGAAAAGCUCUUUUACCGGAAAGGAAAAUGACAGUAGCGGAAAAAAAAGCUCCGGCUAACUACGUG
This 433-nucleotide ribosomal RNA is filed under the name uncultured bacterium. Its description in RNAcentral is "partial 16S ribosomal RNA". It matches the Rfam family "Bacterial small subunit ribosomal RNA", at positions 30 to 507 of the family's 1533-position model. The record is from RNAcentral.